This is a long non-coding RNA of Saimiri boliviensis boliviensis (Bolivian squirrel monkey), 602 nucleotides long. RefSeq lists it as uncharacterized. Lineage: Eukaryota; Metazoa; Chordata; Mammalia; Primates; Cebidae. The record is from RefSeq and is a predicted model, not a curated record.
CGGAAGGCCUCGGCCUUUCACUUUCGGGAAACGUCGGGGUUAGGUGAAGGCACGCAGUUGCCUUUUGUAAAUUAAAAUGAUAAUUGGGCCAAAACGUACAGCCUUACCUGAAAGGCAGCGCCGUCGGGAUAUUGGUAGGUCGGGGACAGCUUUGGAAACCCUUAGGUUUACAAGCAUGCGCGGACGUGAGUGCUCAUUAGGUCUCGGGGUGGCCACGUGCAGCCCGGGACCCUGAACCCGGGCGCGCGUGGGCCGUGCACCCGGGGACUCCGGCGAAGCGUGUUUGGCCGUCGGUGUCAUGUGGCCAACUUGAGUCUAGUCGCUCUUCGUGCCUUAGCACCUCGAGAACCGUCAGUUUGCACCAGAUGGAAGCUGAACCGAACUCAUUACGAUGGAUGAUGGAAACAGACUCGAGGAAUCAAAACUGGUAAUGGGUGAAGUCUAUUCAGCGUCCUGCAGUGGAUUUAUCUUAGUUGGGGAAACGGAUGUUUCGAAUGAUGUUGUGGAAGUUAUCAGGAUGCCCAUUUUCAAUAUAGGCCUGAAUUGUUUAACGUUAAUUUUUAAGGUGGUCCUUAAAUAAAAUGCAUAAUUUUAUGUGGCUA